UGCAAUUGAGCCUUCUGGGUGCUGCUGCAAGUUUGGGGGUAAACAGGAGAAUCAGGUUCUUAUAGGAGUGAAGUCUGCAAAGUCGGAUGUUUUCCUAAUUUGAAUGCAAUGACUGAAGUGGAAAAUGGUCAAAACUGAGCAGAGUGGCUCACACCUACAAUCCCCUAGGAGGGAAGGACAAAGGCAUCCAUAUCACCUGGCCACAGUGGUUGUGGUGGAAGCUGUAGCACUGAAGAGACGCAGCCCCAAGGCAGAUGCUGCCAAGAGAGGGAGACAGAGCUACGUCUGAUGUCUCCCUUCCUCCUUCCCUGGUGCCUCCCUCCUCUUGUCCUCCUGUCUCCCUUCAGAUGAAAGAACUGACGCUGAGACUUGCACUCUACCAUAGGCAGAAGCACCCACCUCCCUGUUCCCAACCCUGGAAGGGCAAGGAAUGAAACUGAGGCAAAUAGGGCCAGCACUGUCAGUCUGCUCGAUUUUCCCUCAGAGCAUUUAUCUUCCUUGACAUAUUUACAAUUUUUUGUUUAUUGUUGGUUUCUCUACCUUGACUAGAAUGUAAGAUCCACAAAGGCUUGGGCUUUGCUGUUUUGUUCACUAUGUCCAUAGCUCCCAUAACAGUGCCUAAAACAUUGUAGGCAAUCAAUAGAUAUUCUUUGGAUAAACAAAUAUGCCUCAACAUUGAGUCUGACUUAUAGCAGACAUUGAAUAAAUAUCUAUUGAAUGAA
Molecule: long non-coding RNA, 722 nt
Filed under: Pongo abelii (Sumatran orangutan)
Lineage: Eukaryota; Metazoa; Chordata; Mammalia; Primates; Hominidae
Description: lincRNA
Source: RNAcentral